UACAGAGGGUGCUAACGUUGCUCGGAUUCACUGGGCGUAAAGGGCACGUAGGCGGUCCGGUAACUCAGUCGUGGAAUCCCACGGCCCACCCGUGGAAUUGCGACUGAAAAUGCCGGUCUUGAGAGCAGGAGGGGUGAGGGGAACUCUAGGUGGAGCGGUGAAAUGCGUAGAUAUCUAGAGGAACGCCGGAGGCGAAAGCGCCUCACUGGCCUGCUUCUGACGCUGAGGUGCGAAAGCCAGGGGAGCAAAC
This 250-nucleotide ribosomal RNA is filed under the name uncultured bacterium. RNAcentral describes it as "partial 16S ribosomal RNA". It matches the Rfam family "Bacterial small subunit ribosomal RNA", at positions 524 to 773 of the family's 1533-position model. The record is from RNAcentral.